This 1169-nucleotide long non-coding RNA is filed under the name Androctonus crassicauda. Lineage: Eukaryota; Metazoa; Arthropoda; Arachnida; Scorpiones; Buthidae. The record is from RNAcentral.
AUAAAUCGCUUUUGCUUAUAUCAUGGUUAAGUCAUCGUUCAUUCCUGGAUCCCUGUGCCACUUGCACGCCGUGUUCUGAAUUCAAACAUAAUUCAAACUCGGUUCAUCUGACAUACCCGAAGGGGCAUCCUUACAGUGGUGACGGCGGCCGGCGACCUUACAGUGGGAUCAAUGAAAAAUAAAUACAAUUUAUGAAAUUCAUUUAAUAUAUAACUUAGAAUUACUUGAGUAAUACAAAGGUUUGAAAAAAAUUUUUUCAUCAAUUAUUUACAGAAAAAAUAUUUAAAAUCUGAAUAAUAUUAAAUGAGGUAAUAUUGUAUUAUUCUAAAAUAUGUGAAUCUUUUCUUUGAUUAUCCAAUAAUAUUAAUUCAAUAUUGACAUUUUCAAUAGGCUUAGUUUUUUAUUUCUAGUAUGAUUAAUAAUGUAUGUUUUAACCUAAUUAGAUAAUAUAUGAGAGAGUUAUUAGAAUAACCAGCAAUUUUUUGACAGUAUACAUUAAUAAUAAAAGUUCAUAAAGCUCUUAAGACAUUGUCCUAUAGUGCUAAAGGGGUUGUUUUACCAAGAAGAUACUAUAGAAGUUCUUUUGCGAGAUAUAUCUUAACUUUAAUCGUAGCCAAAGCAUGGCUGAUCCAGCUGGCCUAUCAAGUAGAAGAUCCUAACCUUGGCCUCCUGUGCACAAUGUUGCUGUAGCAACUAGUAAUAGCCGAAAUAGGCAGUGUCAAGUACUGCACACAACUGGUCCUGAAAGAUCAGAAAAGACAACCCACAACAAAAGCAAAGUUCAAUGAUGGUAAAUUCUCCCACUACACGAGGAACCUUUGUAAGUCAAUUCACCUAUGACAAAACUGAUGACUGGCUGAGUGCACUAUGCAUAAGUUCAUUGCUUGUAUCUGCAACUUUAACAACAACUAGGUCUAGGAAAGAUAUUGUUCCUAGUGAUGAGGUGAGCAUUCAAAACAUAUGUCACUCUUGUUGUCUUGCCAAUCAUGGAUAAUCAAAAAUGGAUGAGAUCUCUCCUCUGCUUCAUAUCCUGAUGCAGUCUAUAUGCAGCCUGUAGACUGCCACAGGCCAUCAUGGGGACAAAAUUGAUUGAUGCCAUGCUUUGGUGCUUUCCUAUGGCCAAAUAUCAUUUGGGGCAACUAAUCGAAAUUUUCAGAAUGCCAUAGGUG